This 228-nucleotide ribosomal RNA is filed under the name uncultured bacterium. Its description in RNAcentral is "partial 16S ribosomal RNA". It matches the Rfam family "Bacterial small subunit ribosomal RNA", at positions 14 to 230 of the family's 1533-position model. The record is from RNAcentral.
GUAUCCUGGCUCAGGAUGAACGCUAGCUACAGGCUUAACACAUGCAAGUCGAGGGCAGCAUGGUCUUAGCUUGCUAGGGCUGAUGGCGACCGGCGCACGGGUGAGUAACACGUAUCCAACCUGCCGUCUACGUCUUGGCCAGCCUUCUGAAAGGAAGAUUAAUCCAGGAUGGGAUCAGUGAGUUCACAUGUCCGCAUGAUUAAAGGUAUUUUCCGGUAGACGAUGGGG